GACGAACGCUGGCGGCGUGCUUAACACAUGCAAGUGGAGCGACGAACCGGGGCUUGCCCCGGAGCAGAGCCGCGAACGGGUGAGUAACACGUGGGUAACCUGCCUCAAUGAUUGGGACAACCCGGGGAAACUCGGGCUAAUACCAAAUGUGUUCACUCCUUCCAAGGGGAGUGAGGAAAGGAAGCUUCGUCCUCCGCAUUGAGAUGGGCCCGCGGCCCAUUAGCUUGUUGGUGAGGUAACGGCUCACCAAGGCUUCGAUGGGUAGCUGGUCUGAGAGGACGAUCAGCCACACUGGGACUGAGACACGGCCCAGACUCCUACGGGA
Molecule: ribosomal RNA, 325 nt
Filed under: uncultured bacterium
Lineage: Bacteria
Description: bacterial SSU rRNA
Rfam family: Bacterial small subunit ribosomal RNA
Source: RNAcentral